GUUUCCGUAGUGUAGUGGUCAUCAUGUUUACCUUACAAGCAAAAGGUCCCCAGUUCGGAACUGGGGGAAACA
Danionella cerebrum is the source of this 72-nucleotide non-coding RNA. The record is from the annotation of a GenBank genome assembly. Lineage: Eukaryota; Metazoa; Chordata; Actinopteri; Cypriniformes; Danionidae.